GCAGUGGUGGUUCAGGGGUAGAACUCUCACCUUCCAUGCAGGAGACCCAGGUUUGAUUCCUGGCAAUGCA
RNAcentral lists this transfer RNA (70 nucleotides) under Loxodonta africana (African savanna elephant). It matches the Rfam family "tRNA". From Rfam's summary of the family: Transfer RNA (tRNA) molecules are approximately 80 nucleotides in length. Their secondary structure includes four short double-helical elements and three loops (D, anti-codon, and T loops). The record is from Rfam by way of RNAcentral. Lineage: Eukaryota; Metazoa; Chordata; Mammalia; Proboscidea; Elephantidae.